RNAcentral lists this long non-coding RNA (4577 nucleotides) under Drosophila guanche. The record is from RNAcentral. Lineage: Eukaryota; Metazoa; Arthropoda; Insecta; Diptera; Drosophilidae.
ACGAAAUUGAAGUUUGCUGUGAUGGAAAAACAAAACCAAAACCAAAACCAGAACAAGAUCAAAUUACAAAAUAUGUAUAAAAACAUAGCAGACGAAAUUGUGUUAAGACUCGAGGCAAGAGAAUUUAUUGCUCAAGAAACUGCGUCUAAAUAUUUUUAAGCAUAAGAAGAAUGCAUUUUAUAUGUGUGUGAGUUGUGAGUGUAGAUGUCUGUGUGUGUGUGUGUGUGUGUGUGUGUGUGUGUGUGUGUGUGUAGAAAUAACCAGAGACAGACCCUGAAGCUCAUUGUGUUGCCGCUCUUUUGUGCUGUCAAAGUGCAACAAUUUGAACGCUUCAAUAAAGAAAUUCCGCGGAUAAAUGUGAUGUGAUAUUCCUUAAUUAUAUUCCAGCACAGCACAGCACAACACACAUUUCAAUGUCAAAUGGAAAUUAAUCGAGAAGCCCACACACACGAUGCAAAAAAGAGUGUACCAAGUGUGGUAAUAAUAUUAUUAUUGCUAAUUGAAUGAAGCGAGUAUGCAGAUUGAAUGAACAGAACACUUUCAGACAAUAAAAUGUCGAGCCAGAAAAAAUCGGCGUCAUUGAAAUGCAAAUUGAAUAGAAUUUCGCUCAACUCGAACACACAAAAAAGAUAGAGUAAAGAGAUUUGAAGUGAAAUUGGUUGGGACAAAAUAAUAUGUGCUGCAUUUAGGUGGCCAACUUUCUGCUUCCUUUCUGCAUUGGGCAAGUUUAAUUGGAUGCGACGCCUGCCAUGACAUUGUACUCACAUACAUGCUAGUCCACUCUAUUGUUUGGCCAUGUAUUAUGAACGGAUUGUGUUGUGUGUACAGAUGUGUGUGCGAAUGGGUGUGCCAACUCUUUGCAAACUUUGUGCGAGCGGCAAGCACAUUGACGAUGCGAAUGGGCAAAGUUUGCUAAGCGUUAACUUAUUUUUGCUUGACAUGCUUUUGGUUGUUGUUCUUUUCAUUAUGCCACAUUGGAAACACACACACACACACACACACACACACACACACACACACAGACAAGCAGAAACAAAGCAAACAAGGAUACAAACGCAUGGGAAUUGAAAUUUGUGUAUGGCAAUUAAAAUAUCUGCUUUAUUUCUCUCUCUCUCUCUCUUUCUUUCUUUCUUUCUCUUUCUCUUCCUCUCUUACUGCUUAUUGCUGCUGGCCCUGUACAUGCACACACACACACACACACACACACACACACACACACACGAACACCCAUACUGAAGCACACGCAUUGAUGCAGAAAUUUGCAUAAAAACCAAAUGAUAUGCGACAAAACGAGAAAAUGCCACGCGAUUCUAACAAAUAGACAGACAGAAAACUAUCAAAGAGAAAAACUAAAACACAUAGUAGCCAUGUGCCCAAUGUCCAUAAAUAUGCAAUUAUGGCCUAGAGUGUGGAAGUGUUUAUGCAGCAGCAGCAGCAGCGGCCCAGCCAGAACACAACAACAGCAACAGCAACAGCAACAGCUCAAACACUCAAUAAACCCAACCAAACACGCACUGCUUGCAAGCAGUUCUUCUUUUACUGCAAGUAAAUGCGCGCCACGAAAGCAGUUUCUGAUGGCCACCGGCGCAAGCAGUUCCGUUCAAAUUUGUUGAAGAAUGGCAAUGGCAAUACAUGCACUUGUAAGUACUCCCCUGCAAGCAGCCCAAUCCCAAGAAAUGACCCAUUGAAAAUUGAUACAUGUAAAUGUCUAUGGCAUACCAAACGAAAGCUUUAUACAAUGAAAACUAAAACUAAAACUAAAACUAAACCUAAAACCACACUCUUAAUGAUUAAAAGAGAAAGAUGAAGUUUGAUUGAAAGAUAAACUAUAUUUAUACGGAGGAGAAGCCCAAAAACAAAAUACUGCAACUAUCAAAGAGAAAUAUAUACGAUACGAGUAGAUACAUAAAUGAAUUUCGACAUCAUUUAAACGUAAUUGGAACCAUUUUGACUUGCUACUUAAAAUACAAUAACAAAAAUGAAUUCCAUUGUAUGUGUAGAUAAUUAAAUGUGAACUUUGUGCUGUCUAAAUCAAAAUAAUGGUAAAGAAAAACCCCGCAGUAUAUUGUUGAAUGCAUUCCGAUUCCAAAUUAGAGGGAUCAGAGUUGAGCGAUGAUGAAUGAAUGAAUAAUGUCUUCUAGCCUGCCAGUACACACAUGUGUGUGUGCGUCAGAGAGAGAGAGAGAGAGAGAGAGAGAGAGUAUUGGAAGCUGAAAGAAAAUCAAAUAAAAAUUAGAAAUCUUUGAAUCACAAAUUGGACCAUAACAGCAAACAGCAGCUGAAACUAAAACAAAAGCAAAAGCAAAAGCAAAAGCAUAAAGGAGUAGCAUUAGCCGACAUCCGUGUACAUAUAAAUGUACAUGUUUACAUCCACGCACAUGUGUAGUGUGGACAUGUAAUCCGAACAAGUAUUUAUCAAGUGAAUUGGUGUGUAAAUGUAACUUUUUGUAGCUAGAUAUAAUGCACACACAAGAGCAGCAGCAGGCACGAGACGAAGAAGAAAACUACUAGAAAUAGAAGAGGAAAAGUGUUUAAAUUAAAUUCGAAUUCGAAUUCGAAUUGUACAUAGUAUGCAAUAAAUGUAAAUGGAAAAUGGUUUUCAUUUGCUUGCAGCUCGCAGUUAAACCUACUAAAGAAUCCUUCUCUAUAUUAACUCUAACUCAAAGUAAUUGUUGCAUUUUAAAACCCCCUAUAUUUACAAUACAAACACACAAAGCUGUGUACUUAGCUGUAGUCUUCCAGGAGUAAACGUGACAGCAAACACCGACGAAACUCUAUUCCACGUAGAUACAAAAACCUGUAGCAAAAUUGUACCUUAGCUGAAACACCUCGAAAGCUUUCCAAACUAAAACCAAAACCAACACUAAGCCCACAACUACACUGGACUAAAAACCUAAACCAAAUGAAAAAAACCAACCGGAAUACAAAUUGUAAAACAAUAGCGAAAAUUGCUGUCAAAAUCAAAGAGUUCAAUAUCAUAAUGGGAUAUACAUAAGUAUAUGCGACAAACUAUAUUAUUUUUAGAUAAAUGUUAUCAAUGGAGUAUUAAGCAAAACGAACUUCUAGCAAACUCCACCCCCAAGCCACAUUCGAUUCCCCGAAUCCCAUGGUUCUUCAAUGUAAAUUCCUUCAACCAUUGGUUUCCUACUACAUACAUAUGUAAGCUACCAGCGGGGUCCGAUCUGAUCUGAUGCACGACAAUAUAGAACCCGACAACCCGACAAACCUAUCGCAAAACGAUACUCACCCACGUACCCAGUACCCAGUGCCCCCACGUUCAAAGUCCGAACCCACCCCAAAACGAAGCCCCGUCUAAGCCCAGCCUGAUUUCGAUGGAAGUGAUCUCUCCCCCCCCCCCCCUCUUUCAAUCUAUAUAUUUAUCUAGCUUUCAAUAUUUUUCUGUGUUAGAUUAGCAAACAAACAAAAACUUCAAUGCUAAACACAAAAAUAAUGUGUCAAAUUUUCAACAAAAAAGAAAAAACCAAAACAAAAUAUGUUAAUAUGGAGAGAUAUAAUUGGAGGAUUGCCAACCAAGUUGCAAGUAUUUUCCAGGCCUAAGCCUUAAAAGUGUAAACCAAGAAACUUGAAUUAGACGCCUCCGUAGCGAGAAUGAAGGAAAUAUGUAAUCGUUAUUGUAUAGAGAAAAGCUCCUUGGAGGGCGCGCGUGUCUUUUUUUCUUAAUUUAUAAGCUGUUAAAAUCAAAUUUUACUAAACCAAAUUAAGUAUUGAACAAAGCCAAGAAAGUCAUUUAAACGGAGCAUAAACGAAAGCGUAGAAGAACAAUUAUGUGUGUCUGUGUGUACCAAAUGCAACAAACAAACAAACAAACAAACAAACAAACAAACAAAGAAAAAAGCAAAACCAAAUAUCUCGUUUUAGAGAAAAUACUUGAUUUCUUCAGUUGUUGCUGUAAAAAACCUGUAUGUUGUAUUUAAGACACAAGAACAGAGAAACUACAUGUCAUACCGUAGCAUAGAGCUAAGGAAACAGUUUAAAAUUAGCGAUAGACGAACAUUUGAGCCCCACAGCUCUGACUUGUCCAAGAGCGGGGGCCAGAGUGCAGCUCAGCUCAGCUAUUCAAAUUCGAAUUGUUAUCAGACGAGCAAAAGCAAGAGCAAAACGAGAGGCAAGAGUUACACAAAUGUUUAUGGGUGCCGAAGUCUUUGUUCGCUGCCCAAAGUUAUCUUCAAGCAACCAGACAGCUUCUGUUUGACCAGAGCGAAACGAAGAGAUUUGCGUUACAACAAAAAGAACACGUUACAAACACAAUUACAAAUUGAACAUUGAAAAUUGAUAGUCGAUAAUUACGAUAAUAUGUACAUCCUAGUUGUAAACAUAGCUGAUCUUUUUGGUGUAAAUUUUAAAUGAGAAAACCAAACAGAACAACUCUCCAUGCAAUAAAAAACACAAACGAACAAACUAAAUGUUUCAAAACCAAAACCAAAACCCAAAACCCAAAACCCAAAACAAACCGGAAACAAAAAAUGUUUAAAUGCAAACAGCAUGAACCAAAAAAAUACGACGGACAAAACUUAAUUAAAUGAAAACAAAUAUUUUUUUUGUGAAGUUAAAAUGUG